This 472-nucleotide ribosomal RNA is filed under the name uncultured bacterium. RNAcentral's name for it is "bacterial SSU rRNA". It matches the Rfam family "Bacterial small subunit ribosomal RNA", at positions 8 to 524 of the family's 1533-position model. The record is from RNAcentral.
AGAGUUUGAUCCUGGCUCAGAGCGAACGCUGGCGGCAGGCUUAACACAUGCAAGUCGAACGGGCGUAGCAAUACGUCAGUGGCAGACGGGUGAGUAACGCGUGGGAACGUACCUUUUGGUUCGGAACAACACAGGGAAACUUGUGCUAAUACCGGAUAAGCCCUUACGGGGAAAGAUUUAUCGCCGAAAGAUCGGCCCGCGUCUGAUUAGCUAGUUGGUGAGGUAAUGGCUCACCAAGGCGACGAUCAGUAGCUGGUCUGAGAGGAUGAUCAGCCACAUUGGGACUGAGACACGGCCCAAACUCCUACGGGAGGCAGCAGUGGGGAAUAUUGGACAAUGGGGGCAACCCUGAUCCAGCCAUGCCGCGUGAGUGAUGAAGGCCCUAGGGUUGUAAAGCUCUUUUGUGCGGGAAGAUAAUGACGGUACCGCAAGAAUAAGCCCCGGCUAACUUCGUGCCAGCAGCCGCGGUAAU